UGCCAGCAGCCGCGGUAAUACGGAGGGGGUUAGCGUUGUUCGGAAUUACUGGGCGUAAAGCGCGCGUAGGCGGAUUGGAAAGUUAGGGGUGAAAUCCCAGGGCUCAACCCUGGAACUGCCUCUGAUACUGGCAAUCUAGAGUUCGAGAGAGGUGAGUGGAAUUCCGAGUGUAGAGGUGAAAUUCGUAGAUAUUCGGAGGAACACCAGUGGCGAAGGCGGCUCACUGGCUCGAUACUGACGCUGAGGUGCGAAAGCGUGGGGAGCAAACAGGAUUAGAUA
This 279-nucleotide ribosomal RNA is filed under the name uncultured bacterium. Its description in RNAcentral is "partial 16S ribosomal RNA". It matches the Rfam family "Bacterial small subunit ribosomal RNA", at positions 506 to 784 of the family's 1533-position model. The record is from RNAcentral.